UAAUAAUAAAUUAAACACAGGCCUCGAUAUAAUUAUAUAGUAUAGUAAUUCCCGGAAAUUCUUAAAUUUUCUCAUAAAUAGCCGUACAAGAAUAUUCAAGUUAAAGUUUAGUGAGUUUCGCAUAUUCAUAUGUAAAUAUAUCAUACAACAUAUUCUAACAUAUAUGAACGCAAAAAUGUGAUUGUAUACAAUUAAAAAAUAAGAAUUGGAAAAAUCAACUGCUUUCGAUAUAGAAGGUGUAACUAUACUUAAUUUUCGGCAAAUAUUGCAACCAGGCCAAAUAUUGGUGUAUUUCAAAUAUAGGAGCUUACCCACUACAUAUAAAUGCAAUCAAGCAUACACAAAAGCAUGGAAUUUCUCAAUGAAAUGCCAGUUAUGGUUAUAAGGCUUAAGCACAUUAUUUACAUGGCUUUGGUAAAAGAUAAAUCGCCGACAACUGCACAUAGAAUUCGAACAUUAUUGUGAAACAAAUUUUACAGCGACAAACCCAACUGAUGACGUUUAAUCAAAUGAUAAAGGAUUAUUUAUUUAUGGCGCAAAAUUCGGAGAUUUAGUUCUUCUAUAUUCUGCUGAAGCCAGCGCCGUAAUGAGUGAUGAGGAGGUUGAACAUGUGUACGUGGAUACGAUAUUUGAACUUAUAUUAGUUUCAUUUUUUUGGUAAACGUAUAGUUUAGGUCCCCC
Bactrocera oleae (olive fruit fly) is the source of this 681-nucleotide long non-coding RNA. RefSeq lists it as uncharacterized. The record is from RefSeq and is a predicted model, not a curated record. Lineage: Eukaryota; Metazoa; Arthropoda; Insecta; Diptera; Tephritidae.